UAAGGAAUAUUGGUCAAUGGACGCAAGUCUGAACCAGCCAUGCCGCGUGAAGGAUGAAGGUCCUCUGGAUUGUAAACUUCUUUUAUCUGGGACGAAAACGGGAUUCUUAUCUCAAUUGACGGUACCAGAGGAAUAAGCACCGGCUAACUCCGUGCCAGCAGCCGCGGUAAUACGGAGGGUGCGAGCGUUAUCCGGAUUUACUGGGUUUAAAGGGUGCGUAGGUGGGCUUAUAAGUCAGUGGUGAAAUCUCCGAGCUUAACUUGGAAACUGCCGUUGAUACUUUUAUUCUUGAGUUCGGGAGAGAGAGACGGAAUUCCAGGUGUAGUGGUGAAAUACGUAGAUAUCUGGAAGAACACCAGUUGCGAAGGCGGUCUCUUGAUCCGACACUGACGCUGAGGCGCGAAAGCGUGGGGAGCAAACA
RNAcentral lists this ribosomal RNA (421 nucleotides) under uncultured bacterium. RNAcentral's name for it is "bacterial SSU rRNA". It matches the Rfam family "Bacterial small subunit ribosomal RNA", at positions 355 to 774 of the family's 1533-position model. The record is from RNAcentral.